GUCGAGCUGCAUUUCCGCCGGCGCGGUCCGGUUGUAGCAGUUUCCUGCGGCAGUGGCUGCUGUCCCAAAUAGUCCUGAACGAUUCCGAGGCGUGCCGCACCCUCUCGCGCCGUCCCCUCUGACCCUGCCGGUGACAGGCCCGGCUCCCCGGGUGAGUCGCUGCGGGGCCGCGAUGCACAGGCAACCCCCCCGCGGCCUCCCAAGCCCGGUGCAUCAUACCAGCCCCCCCGACAGGAGGAGAAACUGAGGCCCGAGGGGACGGGGAGAGCCGGCGGAGGUCAGCCCCGAUUUCAGGCCCCGCUCCUGGGUCCGGGCCCAGCCCCUCCGCCGGCUGCGGACCUCUCGGGAUGCGUGUCCCCGAGAAUGGGACUCCGGGUCUGAUCCCCUGCGCGCGGGGAAGACUCGUGUCCCGCCAACUACCAGAAGCGGGUCCGGCGACGCGCGGGCCGAGUGCCGCCGCCAGUGGUGCGGAGCCCCGUGUGGCCCCGGGCCUGAAGAGCUCCCGGGGCCGCGUGAUUUUCACGCACACACCCACCUCCGGCUCUGGGCCUCGAAUCCGCCAAAGCGCUUUAUCGGUUGCCCACGAAGUGACCAUAUGAGCGUUAGCCCGUUUUCUUGUCAACAAACAGCCUUUAAGAGAAAGCGUUAAAACCCCCGUUGUGCAGAGCGGUUGUGUGAGUUUUCAAUUGGGGGCGCUCGCGGGGCCCCAGAGCGUCAGAGGCCGAUUCCGGUGUCUUUGUUUUGCACUAAAGCCCCUUCCCCGUGCUGUCUCCUGCGUAGGCGUUGCGGGCUCUGGGGCUCCGUUGGAAGCAGAUGGAAACUCUCCGUUGGACGGCUUUGGGGGCUGUGCGUCAGGCAGCGCCCCCUUCUUUGCUGCAGGACCCUGAGCCGCAGCGCCGGAUGUGCCCCCGCGGUGUCCAGGGGGUGAGGCCUGGGUAAGUGCUGCUGCUCAGGAGAUCCUUGAGCAGGGGACUCGUUGCCUUCCUGCCACACCACGGUGGGGGGUUUGGGUGGGUGGGGGGCGUCCUGGAGCUCCUGCGGGUCCUGAGAAAGCCCUGAGGAGGCCUGGUGUGGUGGAUGGGGGUGUGUCUGGGGGCCAGAGAGGUCUGGGUUCAGAUCCUGCCUCAGCCUGUGGCGAGCGCAUCACGUUGGCUAGGUUACGUCCUUCUGAGCUCCUCUGUGUUUUAAGUGGGGAAACUGCCAGAGCUCUGGGAGGACAGAAGUCUUGUCUGUGUUCUUUGUCUUUGAGCCCACGGUUGGUGGCGCAUAGUAGAUCGUCCGUCUGUAUUUGUGGGGGACUAAACAAUGUAGGCGUUUUUGCCGCGAGUUGGUCUUCACGUGCCCCCUCUUGAUGACGGGAGAUGGCGUGUUUACAUGAGAUGGUGAUGGCGCUCAGGGUCCUGGGCUUGGCUGGGCAGCUCUCCUCUGCCUGGGAACAUAGGCUACUGACAUGGGCUGCCUGUGUCCAGAUGAACCCACUGUGUGGAGAGACAUCAUGGGAGUUCUGUCAGGAACAUUCUAGACCCCAGUGUCCUUGAGGGAUGCUGCCUCGGAUCUAGAGAUUGUUGGAAGAAUCCUUAAGGAGAUGGAGCAUUGGUCCUCUCAGGAUGACCUGGGUCCCAGCUGCCCUGGAGGGACCUCUUCAUGAUUAUUUCGGAGUUGAUCAUGGACACUGGCAGAAUGAAGAAUGAUGUUGCCACGUGAACCAUGGCCAGACCUUAUCCUGUUGCCUCAGCACAGCCUGGAGGGACUUUUCUCUCUGCGUGAGCGGGCCAGAGGGAAAGUCCUGGGACCCUGGAGACUUGAGGUCCAGAGCUAGAGACGUCAGCUGGCUCUGCUGCUCCCCCAGCAGGUGUCACACAGCACCUGGGACCAGGAAGACUGGUUCCCUUCCACCUGAGCCAGGUGUCCAGCAGGCUCCACGUCUCCCUGACUAUUCCUCCUGUAACUUUUUACAACCAAGAGUUUUCUGCACGGUGCAUCCUUGUCCCCUCACGCACCCAAUAAAUCUUGAAACUGCC
Molecule: long non-coding RNA, 2021 nt
Organism: Leopardus geoffroyi (Geoffroy's cat)
Lineage: Eukaryota; Metazoa; Chordata; Mammalia; Carnivora; Felidae
Exons: 4
Source: RefSeq, a predicted model, not a curated record